This is a small nuclear RNA of Artibeus jamaicensis (Jamaican fruit-eating bat), 107 nucleotides long. The record is from RefSeq and is a predicted model, not a curated record. NCBI's taxonomy places the organism in Eukaryota, Metazoa, Chordata, Mammalia, Chiroptera, Phyllostomidae.
GUGCUCGCUUCGGCAGCACAUGCACUAACAUUGGAACGAUACAGAGAAGAUUAGCAUAGCCCCUGCGCAAGGAUGACGCACAAAGUCGGGAAGCGUUCUGUACUUUU